AUGCCCACUUCAGCAGCACAUAGACUAAGAUUGAAACGAUAUAGAGAAGAUUAGCCUGGUCCUUGGGCAAGGAUGUAACACAAAUUUGUGAAGCAUUCCAUAUUUUU
This 107-nucleotide small nuclear RNA is filed under the name Salvator merianae (Argentine black and white tegu). Lineage: Eukaryota; Metazoa; Chordata; Lepidosauria; Squamata; Teiidae. The record is from RNAcentral.